This 253-nucleotide ribosomal RNA is filed under the name uncultured microorganism. RNAcentral describes it as "partial 16S ribosomal RNA". It matches the Rfam family "Bacterial small subunit ribosomal RNA", at positions 524 to 776 of the family's 1533-position model. The record is from RNAcentral.
UACGGAGGGGGCAAGCGUUGUUCGGAGUUACUGGGCGUAAAGCGCGCGUAGGCGGUGCGGUAAGUCAGGGGUUAAAGGCUGCAGCUCAACUGCAGUAAGGCCUUUGAUACUAUCGCGCUAGAGUACCAGAGAGGAUGGCGGAAUUCCCGGUGUAGCGGUGAAAUGCGUAGAUAUCGGGAGGAAGGCCUGUGGCGAAGGCGGCCCUCUGGGCCUGCACUGACACUGAGGCGCGAAAGCGUGGGGAGCAAACAGG